This 3778-nucleotide long non-coding RNA is filed under the name Panax ginseng (ginseng). Its description in RNAcentral is "long non-coding RNA (PGIN_LNC017085)". The record is from RNAcentral. Lineage: Eukaryota; Viridiplantae; Streptophyta; Magnoliopsida; Apiales; Araliaceae.
AACUCGUUUGCAUCCGAAGUCUUGUAUAUGCAAUUCAUAUUUUGGUUCACAUACUCCGAAGCGUUGUAUAUGCAAUUCAUAUUUUGGUUCACAUACUCCGUUUCUUUUUCACUCAGUUACUUGGGCUCUUGCAGUGACAAUGACUGCGAUUCUUCUGUCAGCGUACUUGAUAAACUUUUGAACAACUAGUUGCCAUGGUCAGAUUAGCAAAUGGAUAAAUUUAAUAGGCUUUCAGAAACAUAUAUACCCAGCUCCUUUGCAGACUUGGAUAAAUCUAUGACAAUGUGUGGGUGUUGUCUCAAUUACCUGAGACGGAUUUUGAUAUCUUCUGUUUUGUGUAAAAAUAGGUAACUAUUGCGUACCUCUGCUGAGAUGUCAAAACACGAUCUUGAACAUCUAUUCAUCUUCUCGUCCGGAUGCAUUUUCAUCCGAAAUUUUUAUUGGGAUCAUCAUCUCACAAAACUUUGGAUGUUCUUCUGGCAAAACAUUAUUUGUACCUUGGAUUUGAUCAUCCUUUCAGUCAGUAGAGUAAGUCCUUUGCAACAGCUUCUGGUUUUUGCUGAUUGCGUGCUUGGGUCCAAGUUUUUUUUUUUUUUUUCAUUUCAUUUCCUAAUUGGGGAGGGAGUUCACUCAAUAUUGUAAUUCAAGGAAAAUAAGCUUGUAUGAUUGAUGAAUCUAGGUUUCAUGUCUUGAUAUAUAUAAACUUGGCUGUUCAUCAAAGAGCCCUAACAAAUUGAGAUCUCUUGACCUUGCUAUUAGCUGAAGGCAUUGAUAUAAGUUGGGGUAUUGUGUAUCAUUAUCUGUAUGUAUAUAUAUAUAUAGGGGUCAGGUUACAUAAUUCUCUUAUCAUCUGCUUGGUUCAGUUAUACUGAAAACUGCAUGAACAUUAUCCAAGCUGAUAUCUUCAUGACAUUCAAUUCCCACACACAAGCUCAGAAAAUGUUUGAAACCAAUUAUUCUCAACAAUCUCUUAUAUUGAGAGUUUUAGUAAUUUUACGUCAAAAAUUUUUGUUGGUCGAGAUCAAAUGUUACCCUUGUGGGGAUUAGUAUCAAAUAUUCCGGAGAUGAGCUUCUUUUUGUACUCUGUAUAUGAAAAAUCUUGGAUAUAUGUAUCUUCCUCAACUUGGAAAUUUAAAACUUGACGGCUUGACAAGCUUGACGGCUUCGACCGUCGGGAGAUAGCUCAGGCGUAAGAGUCAGUACAGGCGAUUACAAGGUUAACAAUGGAGGAUAAAAUAUCUAGUGUAUUGAGAGAGAAAAAAAUAUCAGUUACCUUUACUUGGACGACCUCCUUGCUAUGUUAUACUCUCUAGCCCGGUUUACCGUGCCACCCACUACCGUCAGACACUGCUCCCCACUACUCAGUGAUCGCAGCCAACAACAUGCCGACUGUCACCUUUUUCAUACUGUUUCUACCGCCGGCCGACUAUAAUCUCAUCCACAUUAAUGAUCUGCAGGCCACUCGGUCAACAGCCUUCCUUUUUCAUCAUUACAAGUCAAAGAUGGAGAUAUUAAAAUAUCUAGUGGGUUAGCCCACUCAAGUUGGCCCAAGUCUUUCAAGAUAUGUUCAUGAGGAUUAACUAAACUGGCCCAACUGACCAAGCCCAAUAGAGAUGACCCAAGAGAUUUAAUCAAAUGAACAGGCCCAAUCUACUCGGCCCAAUAUGUGAAAUAUCAUGACCUAACAUUGCCCCCUAGUUUUUUAUUCAACAAACUAUUUAAUAGAAAACUAUAAAUUACCCAUGAUAUGAAGAAUUUAAUAAAAUCAAAAGAUGCCCAAAUUAAACUUUAUCAAGGCCCAAACGGUAAGGAAGUAGAAUGAUAGGAUAAAUUGAAACCGGAAACCCAACUGAAAGGCCCAAAAGUUUAAAAAUGAAGGAUUGAACCAAACGAUACCCUUUCAAAUUCAUGAUUAUGACUGUCAAUUAAAUGUGCCGCCCUCGUGUACCGUGUAACCGUCAGUAUAAAAAGUAAACUUCACCAAACUUGACAGUUUUACCUGCCAAUUUGAAAUUUAGACGCUUGAGCUCUCUUAUUCUCUCUCGAACGUUUCUUCCCUUCUCUGCAAAAUUUCAACAAUGGUGGUCCUUAAUACGAAUCAGAUCUCCCCAAUUCGGGCAACCCCUCAUACUGUCGUUCCACCUAACCCAGGUCCCAACGAAGAAGCUUCGAGUUCUAACCCUCAAGCUGCGAAAUCAAGCACGAAUCCACCUCCAAACCUACUCCCUAUGAAUUCUUCAGAAGUAAGGAGCGUUUUUCACACGCCAAUACCCCUUCUGAAAUAACAGAGAUUGGUUUAAAGAAAAUCCGUACUCGAUAUCAAAUCUCUGAUACCAUCAGGUGAGAGCUCCACGGUCUGAAGAGCGAAUGUAUCAACGACCGGAAGGUUGGACGGCCGUUCCAGUGACCCUUCUGGAGAAAGGGGUUCGAUUCCCUUUGCACAUUUUCUUGAUUACCUUUCUAGGGUUUAUCGGCGUUGGAUUUGCCCAGUUGGUGCCGAACUCCUACAUUCAUAUCAUCGCCUUCAUCGCUUUUUGCCACGAAGUAGGAGUAGAGCCCACUCUUGACUUCUUCUUCACUAUUUACAAGAUUGGCCAAACCCGGGAAAAAGGGUUUAAGGCUUUGAGCAAAUUACCAUCGAAGUCAGGUGAGAAGUUCGAAAGACGCUCUCUAAUCAAUACUCCUUCCAGCAAUAGAGGAUGGCAUAAAGGGUGUUCUUCAUCAAAGGACCAGAAAUUGCUUCCUUACCGGGUUGGGUCACUGAAGAUGUAGUUUCUGCUGACUUCGGUGACAUCCCGGAAGAACGCGCAAGUGAAAUGAUAGAGCUGUUUAAAAACUUCCCAUCGAAAGAAUGGAAUUACUUGCUUCUUACUAAGCAAGCCUAGUUAUAUGAGCACAAAUGUAAGUUUUGAAUUAUUUGAUUGCACAAUUGUCUGAAAUUUUUAUUGAUAUAGAUUUUGACAUGUGACUUUCUGUUUUUCGUAGUAUCUUUGAUUAAACCGUCUUCUAUAGACGUGAGAUUAGCAAAUGGAUAAAUUUAAUAGGCUUUCAGAAACAUAUAUACCCAGCUCCUUUGCAGACUUGGAUAAAUCUAUGACAAUGUGUGGGUGUUGACUCAAUUACCUGAGAUGGAUUUUGAUAUCUUCUGUUUUGUGUAAAAAUAGGUAACUAUUGCGUACCUCUGCUGAGAUGUCAAAACACGAUCUUGAACAUCUAUUCAUCUUCUCGUCCGGAUGCAUUUUCAUCCGAAAUUUUUAUUGGGAUCAUCAUCUCACAAAACUUUGGAUGUUCUUCUGGCGAAACAUUAUUUGUACCUUGGAUUUGAUCAUCCUUUCAGUCAGUAGAGUAAGUCCUUUGCAACAGCUUCUGGUUUUUGCUGAUUGCGUGCUUGGGUCCAAGUUUUUUUUUUUUUUUUCAUUUCAUUUCCUAAUUGGGGAGGGAGUUCACUCAAUAUUGUAAUUCAAGGAAAAUAAGCUUGUAUGAUUGAUGAAUCUAGGUUUCAUGUCUUGAUAUAUAUAAACUUGGCUGUUCAUCAAAGAGCCCUAACAAAUUGAGAUCUCUUGACCUUGCUAUUAGCUGAAGGCAUUGAUAUAAGUUGGGGUAUUGUGUAUCAUUAUCUGUAUGUAUAUAUAUAUAUAGGGGUCAGGUUACAUAAUUCUCUUAUCAUCUGCUUGGUUCAGUUAUACUGAAAACUGCAUGAACAUUAUCCAAGCUGAUAUCUUCAUGACAUUCAAUUCCCACACACAAGCUCAGAAAAUGUUUGAAACCAAUUAUUCUC